GGGUGCUUAGAGAUGUGUAAGAGUGAGCCAGGCGAAAGGAGGUGAACGUUCUCAGCUUCUCCUGAUUUGUUAACUUGGAAGUCAUAUUCUUUGUCUACCCCAAAGGACUACAGGGCCAAUGAGAACAGAAACUGCUUUCGUUCUGCCCCAACACACAACAGAAACAGAAGAACUGAAACCUCAGCUGAGGCUUCUGCUCUCGCAUUUCAGUAUCUCUUAUGACGUGGAAGAGCUGAGCGAUGCUUCUAAGGAGACAGAACUUUUUGCCUUGGUUUCCCCAAAAUUUCAAAGCAUCUUCAUGGAACAACAGAGAAUGCAAACGUUUCCAGACUAUAAUGCUGGGAUAGCUAAAGUGGAAAAUUUGAAUUUGGCAGGACCUCGUAGGGCCUUGAAAAAGGGAGCCAACUGGACUUCCUUUAUAAAGAUUAAGCCAAAAUGUGAUCCUUGGCAAAAGAAGCUUUUGACCAAACUAAAAGAACGGAGAAGAAUAGAUGUAUUAAUGCAACUCCAAGCAAAGUUUUUGAAGAUUUCCAAUCCUGAGCGAGUAAUGCAAGUGCUCCAGGAUCAUGCUGCAAAGACAGUCUUGCUGGCUUCAUCUCAUCCAACAUGUGUGGCUUCCCAGGGCAACUAUGACCAAAUCUGGGAGACUAUUUAUAGCAACAUCAACCUCUACCAGAAUGAAAACACUAAGGAAGAUGACCUUUCAGUGCAACGAGAUGAAAAUGACCCAGCACUAAUAAAUCUUAGCCAGUGUGCUAAUAAGCCUGUGAAGCAGAAGAAAGAGACAGGUUACAGUUAUGCAGUGGCCCUACAGCUGCUGGGCUUGGAUGACGGGACUGGGCCCAGUAACAGGGAUCCUGUCCUGAUGAGGGGGACCUACUUGUCCUUUCUGUAUCUGCGUCACCUGAGGAUCCGGGAGCUGCAGCGCAUCUGCUUAGGAAUUCUGAACUAUUUUAGAUCUGUUGAGCGAACACUGACGAUCAACACUUCAGGCCUUACCUUGGUUUCAGGGAGCCUGGUCCCUACCUCAGAAGACAGUUCCUGGGUAAAUAAAGCAAAAGGAGGCAUGGGCACCUCGCAAGGCCUAGGCGCUCACCACUAUGCCCACGGGACACCUGCCGAGCACAGGUUUCCUAGGGUUGCCAUAACAAAGUACCACAAAGUGAGUGGCUCACAACAGCUGGGAGAGAAAUUUAUUCUCUUACGAUUCUGGAAACAGUCCAAAAUCAAGGUGUCAGCAGGACCAUGCUGUCUCUGAAGGCCCCAGGGGAAAAUCCUCAUUACCUCUCGGGCUUCUGGUAGUUGUCAGCAAUCCUUGGUGUUCUUGGCUUGUAGAUGCAUUACUCCAGUCUCUGCCUCUGUCUUCAUGUGGCCUUCUCUCCUAUGUGUCUGUUUCCAGAUUUCCUCUUUUUAUAUGAACACCAGUCAUUGGACUGAGGCUCACCUUAAUCCAGUAUGACCCCAUCUUAACUUAUGUACAUCUCUAAAGACUAUUUCCAAAUAAGGCCACAUUCACAAGUUUCAAGUGGACAUGAAUUUUAGGAGGACACCAAGUCAUGAGAUUGUGUUAAUGCAUUUUAGAAGUAUUUAUAAGAUUAAGAGAAAUAGCUGAUUAUAGAUCUCAAGGGCCUCAUAUACAUGUGAGGCCAUACAUACACAUAUGGUAUCAUAUGCAACAAACCUUUUAGUGUCUCCACUGUCCCCGUGUGAUAGAUGAAGAAAUGGAGUCUAAAGUCUAAGUGACUUGCUUAAAGUGAGGUCCUGGCAGAGUGCAUGCGUGCUCAAUCGCUUCAAUCAUGUCAGAAUCUUUGUGACCUAAAUGCUGUAGCCUGCCAGGCU
Molecule: long non-coding RNA, 1839 nt
Organism: Bos taurus (domestic cattle)
Lineage: Eukaryota; Metazoa; Chordata; Mammalia; Artiodactyla; Bovidae
Source: Ensembl